GGGGGCGUUUCAGAUUCGCUCGGGGGAGCGAUAGCAGAUGUUGCGUGUCGAGAUACCGCUUGGCCUCGUAAAACAGGCGGAAAUUUUUUAAUUGCCAAAAACGAAUACGCUUUAGCCGCUUAAUGCGGCUACAUCCCGCCUUCUGCGCCUGCGGUGAAGGAAUCGGGGUGUCAAAACAGCAGGCUGCCCUCAAUGGCUUCUGUUCGCAGCCAUAAGGGGAGAUAAUCGAACUGGCCAUUGCUCCAUCCUGCUUCCGGGAGUGAGCGAUGGUGAGAACAAAACGGAAGAUACACACGUAGACGCAGUUGCGGUCGCCUUUCGAUACAGGGGUGCAAGUCCCCUCGCCUCCGCCA
This 353-nucleotide transfer-messenger RNA is filed under the name Gracilibacteraceae bacterium. It matches the Rfam family "transfer-messenger RNA". From Rfam's summary of the family: Bacterial tmRNA, also known as 10Sa RNA or SsrA, is named for its dual tRNA and mRNA-like properties. Its role is to liberate the mRNA from a stalled ribosome. The record is from RNAcentral. Lineage: Bacteria; Bacillati; Bacillota; Clostridia; Eubacteriales; Gracilibacteraceae.